Molecule: transfer RNA, 77 nt
Filed under: Candidatus Acetothermia bacterium
Lineage: Bacteria; Candidatus Bipolaricaulota
Also listed under: 3 other names
Description: tRNA-Pro
Rfam family: tRNA
About the family: Transfer RNA (tRNA) molecules are approximately 80 nucleotides in length. Their secondary structure includes four short double-helical elements and three loops (D, anti-codon, and T loops). Further hydrogen bonds mediate the characteristic L-shaped molecular structure. tRNAs have two regions of fundamental functional importance: the anti-codon, which is responsible for specific mRNA codon recognition, and the 3' end, to which the tRNAs corresponding amino acid is attached (by aminoacyl-tRNA synthetases). tRNAs cope with the degeneracy of the genetic code in two manners: having more than one tRNA (with a specific anti-codon) for a particular amino acid; and 'wobble' base-pairing, i.e. permitting non-standard base-pairing at the 3rd anti-codon position.
Source: RNAcentral
CGGGGCGUAGCGCAGCCUGGCAGCGCACCUGCUUUGGGAGCAGGGGGUCCCCGGUUCAAAUCCGGGCGCCCCGACCA